RNAcentral lists this transfer RNA (87 nucleotides) under Ignavibacteria bacterium. Its description in RNAcentral is "tRNA-Ser". It matches the Rfam family "tRNA". Rfam says of the family: Transfer RNA (tRNA) molecules are approximately 80 nucleotides in length. Their secondary structure includes four short double-helical elements and three loops (D, anti-codon, and T loops). The record is from RNAcentral. Lineage: Bacteria; Pseudomonadati; Ignavibacteriota; Ignavibacteria.
GGAGAGGUGGCUGAGUGGUUGAAAGCGGCGGUCUCGAAAACCGUUGUAGGGGCAACUCUAUCGAGGGUUCGAAUCCCUCCUUCUCCG